This 460-nucleotide ribosomal RNA is filed under the name uncultured bacterium. Its description in RNAcentral is "partial 16S ribosomal RNA". It matches the Rfam family "Bacterial small subunit ribosomal RNA", at positions 338 to 795 of the family's 1533-position model. The record is from RNAcentral.
CCUACGGGUGGCAGCAGUGAGGAAUAUUGGUCAAUGGGCGUAAGCCUGAACCAGCCAAGUCGCGUGAGGGAUGAAGGUUCUAUGGAUCGUAAACCUCUUUUAUAAGGGAGUAAAGUGUGGGACGUGUCCUAUGUUGUAUGUACCUUAUGAAUAAGGAUCGGCUAACUCCGUGCCAGCAGACGGGGUAAUACGGAGGAUCCGAGCGUUAUCCGGAUUGAAUGGGUUUAAAGGGUGCGUAGGCGGCCUUUUAAGGCAGCGGUGAAAGUCUGUGGCUCAACCAUAGAAUUGCCGUUGAAACUGGGGGGCUUGAGUAUGUUUGAGGCAGGCGGAAUGCGUGGUGUAGCGGUGAAAUGCUUAGAUAUCACGCAGAACCCCGAUUGCGAAGGCAGCCUGCCAAGCCAUGACUGACGCUGAUGCACGAAAGCGUGGGGAUCAAACAGGAUUAGAUACCCUUGUAGUC